Non-coding RNA from Podarcis lilfordi (Lilford's wall lizard), 72 nucleotides. The record is from the annotation of a GenBank genome assembly. Lineage: Eukaryota; Metazoa; Chordata; Lepidosauria; Squamata; Lacertidae.
GCAUAUGGUGCAAUGGGUCAGCGUGUCUGGCUGUUAACCAGGAGGUUGGUGGUUCGAGCCCACCCAGGGACA